This 469-nucleotide ribosomal RNA is filed under the name uncultured bacterium. RNAcentral's name for it is "bacterial SSU rRNA". It matches the Rfam family "Bacterial small subunit ribosomal RNA", at positions 329 to 793 of the family's 1533-position model. The record is from RNAcentral.
CACCAGACUCCUACGGGAGGCAGCAGUGAGGAAUAUUGGUCAAUGGCCGCAGGGCUGAACCAGCCAAGUCGCGUGAGGGAUGACGGUCCUAUGGAUUGUAAACCUCUUUUGUCAGGGAGCAAAGGGCGCCACGUGUGGCGUUUUGCGAGUACCUGAAGAAAAAGCAUCGGCUAACUCCGUGCCAGCAGCCGCGGUAAUACGGGGGAUGCAAGCGUUAUCCGGAUUUAUUGGGUUUAAAGGGUGCGUAGGCUGUGAGGUAAGUCAGCGGUGAAAUGCCCCCGCUCAACGGGGUGAAGUGCCAUUGAUACUGCCUUGCUGGAAUGCGGAUGCCGUGGGAGGAAUGUGUGGUGUAGCGGUGAAAUGCGUAGAUAUCACGCAGAACUCCGAUUGCGAAGGCAGCAUACCGGCGCCCGACUGACGCUGAGGCACGAAAGCGUGGGUAUCGAACAGGAUUAGAUACCCCAGUAAG